UCGAACGGGAUCCAUCAAGCUUGCUUGGUGGUGAGAGUGGCGAACGGGUGAGUAAUGCGUGACCGACCUGCCCCAUACACCGGAAUAGCUCCUGGAAACGGGUGGUAAUGCCGGAUGUUCCAGUUGAUCGCAUGGUCUUCUGGGAAAGCUUUCGCGGUAUGGGAUGGGGUCGCGUCCUAUCAGCUUGACGGCGGGGUAACGGCCCACCGUGGCUUCGACGGGUAGCCGGCCUGAGAGGGCGACCGGCCACAUUGGGACUGAGAUACGGCCCAGACUCCUACGGGAGGCAGCAGUGGGGAAUAUUGCACAAUGGGCGCAAGCCUGAUGCAGCGACGCCGCGUGAGGGAUGGAGGCCUUCGGGUUGUAAACCUCUUUUAUCGGGGAGCAAGCGUGAGUGAGUUUACCCGUUGAAUAAGCACCGGCUAACUACGUGCCAGCAGCCGCGGUAAUACGUAGGGUGCAAGCGUUAUCCGGAAUUAUUGGGCGUAAAGGGCUCGUAGGCGGUUCGUCGCGUCCGGUGUGAAAGUCCAUCGCUUAACGGUGGAUCCGCGCCGGGUACGGGCGGGCUUGAGUGCGGUAGGGGAGACUGGAAUUCCCGGUGUAACGGUGGAAUGUGUAGAUAUCGGGAAGAACACCAAUGGCGAAGGCAGGUCUCUGGGCCGUUAC
Molecule: ribosomal RNA, 666 nt
Filed under: Bifidobacterium longum
Lineage: Bacteria; Bacillati; Actinomycetota; Actinomycetes; Bifidobacteriales; Bifidobacteriaceae
Description: bacterial SSU rRNA
Rfam family: Bacterial small subunit ribosomal RNA
Source: RNAcentral